AAAAUGAUAAUAAUAAUGGUUUGGUCUUAACUCCGCCCACUUGGUCAAUUAUUCUGUAAUUGUGUUUGUGGGCGGAGCUAAUCUUCAGAGGAAGAGAGCCAGACCUGAAGUCAACCAGGAGUCAAGAUUUACAUGAAGGUAACGAGAGAGACAGAACGAGAAGAAACCACGAAAAGAGGCGAAGAGAGGAGCAGCGCCAUCCGGAGGCCGACUGACCCAAGAAUCACCGGGAUUCCUCAUCACCUCAUUUCCCAGGAAGAGGACAAGAACUGAGAAUCAUGAAUGAUCGACAGAAGAGCCUCAAAGCAGCAAAUAGAUUCAGAUGAAGGAGACGCUUCAUGAUCUUCAUUCAGAACCAAAACGCUCCAGAUGACGUUACAGAACGUCCUGAAACUGGCAGGAAGUCCAGCUCAUAAGUCAUGAAACCAAAACUAAUAAGAGAAGAUUUACAGAUCAGCAGGUGUGAAAAUGAACGGCCUCGCCCGCGCUGCGCUCUUCUGGAAGUGAAAUUCAGAGAGUUAUGAUUUCUUCACAUGUAGUGCUGAACACUCAGAUAUGUACACGUCCCAGUUCAGGGUCACAUGGAUGUUGAUCAAAACUCUUCUGAUGUCCAUGAUGAGGACAGAGAUGCAACUGUAAAAAUGUUUUCAGUUGAUCCAGGUGUUGGUCAAGGAAGAUGCAGGACCAAGAGCUCUCGAAGAGGGCUGCUGGAACGCUGCUGGAACGCUGCUGGGAACGCCACUGGGAACGCCACUGGGAACGCCACUGGGAACGCUGCUGGGAACGCUGCUGGGAACAGCGCU
This is a long non-coding RNA of Poeciliopsis prolifica (blackstripe livebearer), 803 nucleotides long. RefSeq lists it as uncharacterized. The record is from RefSeq and is a predicted model, not a curated record. Lineage: Eukaryota; Metazoa; Chordata; Actinopteri; Cyprinodontiformes; Poeciliidae. The transcript has 5 exons.